AACAGCGAAGAAAUCGAGGGGCGUCGAUAAAGGGUUCGGGUUGAAUCCCCAGGAUAAGCGACAGCAAGUGCAAAAUGGUGUGCAAAGGUCUGAUGCAUCCCCUCAAGCAACAAAAGGAGCUUCUUCUUGCCCACACAACAAAACAAAAACCGUUCGCUAUAUUAUUUCGCUGUCAGUCACAGGCCCCUUGCCUUCAAAGGAGAAGCAGAUAGCGCGCGCAUGUUAAAGUAAACAGACUUAGAAUCAUCCACUUGUCAAGCCUCGUGAUGGACAGACGGACGACUAGCCCGAUGGCGCGUCCACAGCCGGAGAGGAGUCGACGCUUUUCUGGGCCUCCAAAGCUGCAAGCCGCUUGUCGAGAGCCUUGUAACGGGCGUCCACGUGGUCAUGCAGACCUUUCACCUGGAAAAGUUGUGAUUUAGAGAUCAGAUGCUUAUCCUCAACCCAACCAGUAUCAUGCAGGUGUAUAGUGGAAAUGCAGAGGGAGCAUGGUUAACAAACACCACAUGUAUAGAAACCUCAAUCUUGAAGCUCAGACCAAUGAUUGCGCUGCUUAAAAGCCCAUGACAUGUGAAAGACAACUUCACUUAUGAAAAACAUCCACAGGUAAGCUUUACCUCAGAGGAAGAAAUAUAUCCUCAACUAAGGUUAGUACCAACCGCUCAAAAUCAGCAUAAGACGCCCAUCCCCACAUUUCAAGCAACUUCUUAUGGGAUAACUAUACGAGCAUUUGUCUUAAUCGCAUCUACCUGGACAAAUUUCAGCCUUUCAUCUAUGAAAUUCUGCCCAUUUACAUGAACUACUGAACAAUCCCACCAGUGCAUACCGAAUGACCAUGGUAAAUCAGACAUGAUGAAUCAUCCUAGUGUUCUUCUCAUAUUUCAUUGUCAGGAUAUCUAUUGUUCCAUCAUUCUGAUGAAGUUACCCCAACUUCAUACUGGAAGGUACUCAAAACCACCAACAUUCUUGUUGAUGAGACGAACAUGUCAGCUUCAAACGUUAUGAUACAGGUAAUGUCCAAAAAUAUUAUAGUCUAUAAUUAAGUUUAUCAUGGAAAAAAUCAUCUAUGCCUUUGCAUAUAUAUGUUGGAACUUGGAAGAUUGGUUCUGCCAAUGAAACUGAAAUGUUCCUGAGAUAUGCUGCAUCAAUGGAUGCCAGUGCUCAAGUCAUUUGCAGAUAACUAAGUUAAGUUCAACUAUGACCAUGGCAUGCUGUUAACACAAAAUGCAUCUUCAAAUGCAAGAUGACUUGCAAUCUACAUUGUCAGGGCCUUAUCAUCUGGUAAUGUGCAAGGCGCUACAGACAUAUUCAUCCAUCCAUAAUCCAGAAGGUCAAGUUGCAGAAAACUAGUCAUGUGCAUUUAGAUGACACAAGAAACAAUCACUGGGGAACCUCAGAACUAGAACAGAAGAUACUUACUCUAUCCCAGGCAAUCCCACAAACCAACUGCUUUUUUGAACAAAAUACAACAACCAUGCAACGAUGCAACAUGGCACCUCAGAUCUUAUGCAAAACAACACUAUGCCUCAGAUCAUCCCUAAGAUCGUAUAAGCUACUGAACUACCCAAUAGAACAAUAACCUGAGAAGCCAAGAUAACUAUACUACAUCGCAGGAAGUGGUACUGGAACUGUCGGCCAAGGAGGUGAAAAUCAAAAUGGCAUUGCUGGUUACCGAUUACAGGCUGUAACCAAACUAAAAGUAGUGGCCUGAUAAGGUCCAUAGAAGCAUUAACAUGCAUCACCACCACAGGCACCCCCAAAUAAUCAGCAAACAAUACUUUACUGGGGCAUAAUAAUUCAGGCCUGACGGCUAUCAGUACCUAUCACUGGAUAGGCUCUCCUGGUGUGUGUCCAAGUAGGGUGCUGGCAAACAGUUUCAGGGCCGGCCAAUGAUGCUAAUAGGAACAUGAUUAGGAAAUCACAAGUGCGAUUCAUAUAUAGGGUUUAGAACCAAACGCCGUCUCGGGGAGGAAGGGGGUUUCCCUGAUCCCCAUUCUUCUUCCUAGACAGGCGCGGUUGGGAUCCACGGAGUAGUGGCACAGAGUCCGAGAUCUGAGACGCAGAGGCAGAGGGGAGGAGGAGGGCGCGGCCCGUACCUGGAGGGCCGUGGAGUCGUGGGCGAGCUUGUAGUCCUUGUAGAGGAAGUAGCCGCCGCCCGCCGCCGCGGCGGCCGCGCCCGCGAAGAAGGAGGCCAGCCUCACCCGCAGCAUGAACCCCAUCCUCCUCCGCCUCGCCGCCUCUUGCUUGCGCUCCUUGGUUCCCCUUCCUUCCUUCCGCCGCUCUCUGCUUGCGCCGACUGCGACGGACGGACGAUUCGGGGCUCGCGUCAGACGGCUCGACCUAGGCCUGACACCGGGUCCCGCAUCUCAGUUGGGCUCGACAUUUCUGGGCCAGGCUAGCCGCGAAGAGAAAGAAUGGAAACCUGGGCCGGACCGACUCGUUCACCAGAAUAGCCCAAACGGAGGACGGAUGAGAAAAUUUCCAAAAAAAUAUCCCCGGGAGGAGAUAGAGCUGGAGCAGCACAGCCGCUGACCGCCACGCCGCUCGCUCGCUCCCCGCGAGCUCGCCAUGCCGCCGGCAUCCCUUCUGUCCCUCCUCCCCGCCGCGUCGGUCUCCCCGCGGACCCGCCCAGCCAGGCACGGAUCCCCUGCCGCGAGCCACCGCCUCCAUUCCCGCAUCCCCGUCCUCCUCAGCGCGCGAGCUCCCCCGCCACUCCGCUCCUUACCCGCCUCCUCCGAUGUGGUCGAGGCCGGGGGUGGUGGAGGGGGAGGCGAGGAGCUCCACCUCCUCGACAAGCCCUUCCCGUCCCCCUCCGCGUCCGAGGAGGACGAGCCCGAGCCGGAGGCCGCCCCGGCGCCGUCCACGGCGGAAGCGCUCGCGCCCUACCUCAACUUCUUCCAGGUGAAGGGCGCCGACGCCAGCGAGGGCACGCCCGAAGCCGCCGCCCCCGGGAAGCACGCCUCGGAGGACGGAGCCGUAUCGGCCGGGCGCGGGGUCAUCUACUACGACCCCAGGCCCGGGGACCUGGUCGUGGGCGUCGUCGUCGGGGGCGACGCGCGGGCGCUCGACAUCGACGUCGGCGCCGGCGGCGAGCCGGCGCUGAUGCUGACCAAGGAGGCGGCGCCUGCGUCCCCGGAGGAGUUCGGUUACCUGGCGUGCGACCUCGCGUCGGGCGGCGCGAGGGAGUUCGCCGCGGAAGGCAGGGUCGGCGUCGCGGCCGGCGGAGGGGGCGCGAGGGUUGGGAGGACCGGGAAGGAGAAAUGCGCGCCGGUGGUGGGCGUUGGCACGGUGGUGUUCGCCGAGGUCCUCGGCCGAACACUUGGCGGGCGGCCGCUGCUGUCUUCGCGAAGGCUGUUCCGGCGCGUCGCGUGGCACAGAGUGAGGCAGGUCCUCUAUGACUCUCCUCUCUAUUGUUGUUGUUGUUGGAAUUUGAUGAACUGAUCUAGUAUUAGCCAUGACUUGAUCGUUCAAUGUAUGUUUUGAGUGUGCACUGUCAGUAGUUCAGAACCAGAUACAGAUAGAGUUUGUUUGAAAACAAUGUAGUACCAGAUAAGUACUUCAAACACCACUAGUAAUGUAGUGUGUAUGAUUAGUAUCAGGAAUAGAUCUGCAACCCCCGAGUCACGACCGCCGUCUUGCUUGUACCAAGUAGAUUUUUCAUAUACUGGCUGGCCUAUCUAAAAGCUCGAGCUAUUAAAGCAGUGUGAUGUAUAUCUUGCUUGUAGGUUAAUAGGCAAUUACGUACGUACGUACUAUCAUAGCUUGCUCCUAGGUUGAUACACAAUUUUGUCUUCAAGGUUCUUAGCAUGGCAUGAGUCAAAAUCAUUUGGCAUUGCAGCCCAAAAUAGAGCAUCUCAUGUUUUUGUUAAGAACGUAGAGUGAUUUCAUGCUUAAGUACAUGGAGAAAUGAUUGGUAUUAUGAUCAUGAGACCUUGUAAUCUUCCAACUAAUAACAAGUACAUGCAUCAAAAUUGAUGUUUCACAUCUUGGGUGCAGAGCAGUGCAAUGGAAAAAAUUGUAGGAUGGAAAGCCCUUGUUUUCGUCAUGUUUUUUCGAUGACAAUGGAUGAUUGGACAUGACUGUGACCUAUGAAGUUUUGAGUUCGAUAGCUAUUAUUUUUAUUCUGAAUGUUUUAUAUAUGACAAUUUCUGUACAUACUGGUGUCCAGAUAAAGCAGCUAAAUGUACCUAUCAAGGUUAAAAUUUCUGAGUGGAAUGCUGGAGGCUUGUUGUCAAGAAUUGAGGUGCGGGUUACUCAUAACGAGUUCAAUGGAUUACAUUACAGUCCACUUCUCAAAAAUUGUAGCUAAAACUCACAUCCAUGAUUCCAUCAUUUAGGGGCUCCGGGCGUUCCUACCUAAGCCUCAGAUGAUGACUAGACCAAGAAAUUUUACAGAUCUAAAGAACAAUGUAAGACGCAUGAUCCCUUUUAUCUAGUUUUGUCAAGUUAUUGUCAAUAAAGUGGCUGUAACUUGUGAAUUAUAUUGUUUCUUCUGCACAGGUUGGUCGACAGAUACAUGUCUGUAUUACAAAGAUUGACGAAAGGACUAACGAAUUAAUAAUUAGUGAAAAAGAGGCUUGGGUAAGUUAACUGCAUGUUUACAUGGGCCUCUGUUCAGUCUGUUGUCCUUACCUGCAGCAUUCACUAACAUAUUACUCCCUCCAUUCCUAAAUAUUUGUCUUUUUAGAGAUUUCAAAUGGACUACCACAUACGGAUGUAUAUAGACAUAUUUUAGAGUGUAGAUUCACUCAUUUUGCUCCGUAUGUAGUCACUUGUUGAAAUCUCUAGAAAGACAAAUAUUUAGGAACGGAGGGAUUAUUUACCAGGAUAUAAUGUGUUUUUACUGUGGCUCUUCAUAGUAGAGAAUCUUGGUCCAUCAACUUAUUGAAUUGCCUAAAGACACAAUGCAAGAAAUGUUUAUUUAAAUAGCUUUCGCUACAGUCGACAACUCGUGAUUAAUACACUUGAAGUAUUUAUAUCAAUUGAAUUCUGCAGCGCAUUGGUCAGAUUUUGACUUGUAUGAGAGAGCAAUGAGUACCCUUGAGUUCUUCUGAUUAAUUUUGAUCUUCGGUACUUCUUUUAGGCAAUGUUAUACCUUAAAGAAGGGGCUCUCUUGGAAGGGACAGUCCGCAAGUUGUUCCCAUAUGGUGCACAAAUUAGGAUUGGGGAGACUAACAGAAGGUAAUAUCACUAAAUUGAACUAAAACCACAACACUUAUUUUGGAACAGAGGGAAUGCAUACUAAAUAUGGCAUUUCUUCUUUUCUGCUAUAGUUCAUUUUACACUUGAAAGUUGAAGGAGCAUUCCUUCCAGUUCCGUCAUUUCAUUAGUAGCUGCUGAUAAGUUUCUUUUUGGUCAUACUCUUAUAGUCAUGCAUAUGUUUUAGUAUGGCUUACUCCUAUUUUAUGACAAACAAAAAUAGGUUUACCAAAUAAUUUAGAAGGUGGCUGUUGCCACAAUAUGUUUUAAAUCUUGGCAACAUUGAUGAUGCUAAGUCUUGACUAGAUUAUAUAAAUAUAAUUGUCAAUCUUGCUCCUUUUGACAUUCUUAACUGGAUUACGUGAACAAAAGAGUGAUUGUUAAUUUUAGUGGAACAUGAGAUUUACUGACUAGCCUUCACACUGAUGAGUUCCAUUGGAAAUUCUGAUAAUUCGCCAGAUAAUGAGGUCUCUCUUCUUUUAUCAAUCUCCUGGCUUAGAAUAUGAGAGAUUGCUCUGUGCUCUAGCGAAGGGCUUGUCUUGUUCCUUUGGAAUAUGUACUUCCAAGUAUUUACAUGUCAUGCUUCACUUUCAUUUAUAACAGAUCAUAUAACUUCAAGCAUUUGAGUAUGCAUCUUCCCUUUCAAAAGGCACUCCCUCUGUUCCAAGAUGGUCUACUCCCUCUGAUCCAUAUCAAUUGUCGCUGCUUUAGUACAACUUUGUACUACUAAAGCAGUAACGAUUAAUAUGGAUCGGAGGGAGUAACUUUUUUCUGAAUCAGAUGUAUAUAGACGAUUUUUAAUGUGUUUGUUCACUCGUUUCAGUCCAUAUGUGGUCCAUAUUGAAAUAUCUAAAACAUCUUAUAAUUCGGAACGUUGCUAUAGUAUUAUCCAUCUUGUAUUGUUUCAUGCCCGAAUUCAGUUUGGACCCCAUCCAGUCUCAUUGAACCAUAGGCAUCAUUCUAUCCACAUGGCAAGCUUGUGAACAAUCUAGAGGUGGGAACAUUUUCGGAUGUUUAAUUUACAGCUUGUGAUGCUUCUGCAGUGGUUUGCUGCAUAGCUCAAAGAUAACACACGGUCAGCUGAGAUCCGUCGGUGACGCGCUCAGAGUGGGCGAGAGAGUGAAAGCGCUUGUGAUCAAGUCGACAACGCCAGACAGAAUUGCUCUUAGGUACGUGAAAGAAACUCGUAAAAACUUAAAAAACCAUGCAUGUGCAGCACUGAGAGCUCACGUGUCUCGGCUCUGUGCAGUAUUAGGGACCUUGAGAGCGAGCCUGGACUGUUUCUCUCCGACAAACAGGUAAGAACACUGCCUCUUUGGCUCUUCAGUUUUACAUGCUAUAUGUGUCAAGUUGCCAAUGCUCAAGGUAGUCACAUUUUGCAUUGCCUCUGGUUUCUGCAGAAGGUGUUCGCCGAGGCGGAGGAGAUGGCGCGAAGAUACCGGGAGCAAAUGCCGGCGACGCCUCGGUCUGGCGAGGCGCCCGAUGACGGCGACGACGAUACCGUCCCGUUCGAGGACGAAGCGGGGUCGUACGCCAACUGGAAGUGGCUGAAGUUCAUCAAGUCCGACAGAGUAGACUGUAACCCCAGUGUCACCGGACCAUCGGUAUUGUAACGCAGGAAUGCUGACUACCUCUGCACAAAUUUUGUUCGGUCAGCCGCACGGUUUCCAUGAGUGCAUCACAAGAUGAAGCUCAAAGGUGUCGGUGAGCGGCACGCGGCACCCUGAAUCCCUGAUCGAUCUCACGAACACAUCACAAGUCGCUGUUGGCAGUGCCUUGCUUGCUCUAUCUGACGCGCACUGCUCAUCUUCUCGUCGCCGUAUGUUCCAAGCCUGGUCAUCGUCGUGUCUAUUCAUCGCAACAGUGAACGAGAACGUCGCACAGUGGCCGACUGACAACCCCUGGAAUAAUCAUCUGCCGGUGCGUGCAACAACCCAAAGCCGACCCAUCGUGUCAACAGACGAUCGAUCUGGAUCGGAGCGGCCCUUUGCUCGCCUCCGGAUGAGAGCGACGGCUCGGCCCCGUGGGAACACCGGACGACAGGUUUCGAGGUAAUUAGCCACUUCAUUAGCGUGCUAAUCCUGUCGUUGGCGGACAUGGUUUGGUCGUUACGGACUAGUUUAUGCAUCGGUGAUCGGAUGGAUAUAAACUGUCGCGAGGGGAUGUGAUGUCGUCGUCGGGGAAUUCUUUGGGGCCCGGACAGCCGCUACGUCGAGAUAAACAAGCAUGCAGCCGCGAAUUGUUUUAUGGUGAUGAGUGAUUCAGUGGCUGAGGCUUCGUAAGAGACGAAAGCGAGAUCCUAACUCGAUCUUGUUGAGCCUAUCUAUUCUAUCAUCGCCGGCCACUGAGAUUCCUCAGAUGUCACGUCGCAGAGACUUCGGUUCGGUUCAGUUCAGUUCAGGCUUCUCAGCAAAGCUCUAGCUGUAUACCUGCUCCCUGUCCCUGAGAGUACAAAUUAAUUUAUGGGGAAAAUGCCAAAGGCGUGCUCCCUGUCCCUGAGAUAGUGAGAUAUACUACCACCGACUUUCAUUGAUCAUGCUAUGGACGAUUAUAAAAGUGUAUUAAGUCGGGAGCCGUGGGCGGGGAAAUUACUAGAAUCGCAAUCGUCUUCACUUUUGCGCCCUCACGUACUGAUAAUCAGCCCUCUUUUUUCGACACCAACGUACUUACAAUCAGCCAGCUGUAUCCUGUAGCUCUCGAUCGAUCUGUGCGUGGUUCACCUUUCCUAGUGGUUAAAUAAUAUGACUACAGUACCCAUCGUAGAAAGAAAGGUCUUUUUUAAAAAGGAGGAUGACCCCGGCCUCUGCAUUUGGGAGAUGCAUGCGACCACUUUAUCGAUUAUUCUUGAGGACCUUACAAAGUAUUGCAACAAUAUGCCUGAAUCCGUCGUCUUGGCAAUAUAUGCCACUACUCCUAUCCAUAUGAUGAAGGGGUGCUAGCUGGGCCAAAUACCCAGACCACUCACCUAAGCCUAUCAUCAAAAGCCAGAAGCCCCAGCCGAGCCACGUACCGGGUCUGGGGCAUAAACUGGUCUGACGCACUCACAUGUGUCGUCGCCGCCAUCUUCAGAGUAGAUAUUGAGGCUUCUACCUUGCCAGGUCACUCGGCCAUCGACGCCACCAUAUGACGCCAGACAGCUACCUCCUCCUGCACGAGUCCAUCACCACGCAUCGGGCGCCGAGUCUCCACUGCGCCACGCCGCCAAGAUCCGCCGUCAUCAAUGUGUAGGAUGAAGCACCGCUCCAUCAAAAAAGCCGCCCGCUGGUCCCUCGAUCCCGUGCACGCCCCCAAGGAGGAAACGACACCAACGCGUCGCCGUCAUCUGAUCUACUGAUCUGGAGCUUCUCCACGGCGAUGCCUUCAAGAAGGUAAUAACACAAAAGAGUGCCGCCAACGCCGGUCUUGGCAUCAAGCCGAGAACUAGGUUUUCACCCGGAUCCGCUCGAGGAACCUCCAUCAAGCAUCGUGUGCACGGGUCGCCGCCGAUCUGAGCCGCCGCACAUCGAGCAGGUCGCAUUGGCCAAAUCAGAUCUGUCCGGAGGGCAAACCACACAUGGCGCCGACCAACCACCAGGCCCUCCAUGCCGCCACCGCCGAUCCGAGGUCAGAUGGUCCGUCGCCGCAGACCCGUCGCCGCCGCCGAACGCAGCCCAGUCCGCUGUCCGAAGCAGGGCCAGCCACCGCACCCGCCACCAUUCGCCCUAGGCCGAGGCGGUCGUCGCACCGCCGCCGGUCAAGGCAGGCCCGCCACGCCACCAAGACCAGAUCGGCCGUGCCACCACACGCUGCGGGGCUCCGCACCGCCCCCAUGGCGUAGGAGAGAGGGAAGGCCCCCGCCACCGCCGUCAGCCUCUGGGCUAUAGGCCGGCGGCGUCCUUCGGCGGCGGCAGAGGAAGGGAUGGAAGAACGGGGAGCCCCCGGCGGCUAGGGUUGCGAUCUCGCCUGAGUCGCCCAAGCGGGGGCGACACGGGCGGUGCGGAGAAGCCUCCAGAGAUUACGAUGCACGUACGUGCCCAGUUGAGAGUUUGAAGAUGGGCACCGUUAAACUGUGGUGGCACGUACCGAUCGAAUGAUUUACCGCGAAUUAAUUGGGCGAUACGCAACGUACAGUUUUUGAUUUGGUGAAUGGUGAACGAGCUGCUCCGUCCCCCUCCUCGUGUAAAAGAAGAAAUAGAGGAUGGAACCGGCCGGCCGGACUCCUCUUUUCCUUUCAACCUGGAUGAUGGCUUCUCCUUUUACACUAUCUAUCUAUGCCAUACUAGCAUUGACUCCUCUUUUUCAAUUUUCCACACGAGUGGGUGAUGCGUCUUGUUUUCUUUCUUGAUACGGAAGCAGGCAAUUGGCCGUUUCAUCCACCAGGAGGAGGCGGGUACUCCUGGUAAGGCAUUUCAUCGGUGCCUUCCUUAGAGCAUCUCCAAUGGCUGCCCCAUAACUGCCUCACGUGUUAAAAAUCAGCGUUUUUGUGCGUCGGAGACAAAAAACAGCGUUCCAGCAGUCGUUGUAAAGUAGAGUGUGCUUAAAAAACUUUAGCGCACGGGUGUGCACGCGGGCUGCAGGGCUAUAAAUUUGAGGCGUCGGAUUGUACGCGCGGGCUGCUGCAGAUGAGGCCGCUGUAUUGGGGCUCGUGUUUUUGUGCAUCUCGAAAACCUCUUCGUCAUUCCGCGCGCAAAAAUACUAUUUUGACGAUGCAAAUUUUUUUUAGCACACCGUGAUACUGCGCGUCUGUUGGAGAUGCUCUUACUGACAGCUCAAUCCCCUUGGCAAUAGCAUGCGGUAGGUUCCAGUGCCGGAGUGUGUAUCGAUCGUGCACACGUGGAAUUGAUUUCCUUUCCAGCACGUACAUGCCGGACUGCCGGAGGGUGAAUUGAACCGGACCGGUCGGGCGGUCGGCCUAUGUUCGUGCGCCGCCGAUGGCAACACAGACACAGCCAUGCGCUCCAUGCAUGUACGUAGAGCGCGCGCCCGUGCGUACACCGGCUGACGGCGGUUAGCUGGGGCCAUUUUAUAUGCACGCGUCGCCGGGGCAGUCGAGCGGUCCACCGAGCAGCACGCCGUCGCGUUGCUUCUCAUGUGCUCGCCAUACCACACGUGACACCGACGUAUCAUGGUGUACACCAACCAACCACUGAGCUCACGGUCGCGCGCCGUUGCAUCAAAGGUCCAAAUCCGUAGACCAUUUGGCCGGGCCCGUCACGUUGCCUGCCGGCGUGCCUCACCUCGCCGUGAAACGACUCGCGUGCGUCGACCUCGACGUCACACUGGCCGCUGACGAUAGAGCUACCCAUCAGUCCCGCAUGGACGCGCACCUGGUGGUAGCGUCGCGGCGAUUAGAGGAUCCAAACGUGCCCUGAUUAAUCAGCCGUCCCGGCCGGCGCUGCACGCUAGCCCAGCCCCAGCCCCGCGAUUGAUCGAUCGGCCCGGCCGGAACGACGUAGGUUCGCACGUGAUCUUCCUUCCUUCCACCUCAACGGCUCCUGAUUCCUUCGCUGUCGCACUUGGAUUUGCCAGUCAUGAUCCUAGACUGGUUUGUUAAUCAAGUACACAUUAUGGCUUCCUCCGGCCACCUCACUUACUUCACACCUCUCGCUUCACAAGCUCGUAUUGGUGUUUCUUCUUUGCAUUUCAUCCCUACAAAUGUCGUGGCAGUAUAAAGAACGUCGGAAAUACAAAACGCACCCACGUCCUAUACCACACAUACACGACCGCAAACACUGCAAACGAGCAAAAUGCACGUCGCUGUCAUCGGCCUUCUCUCAUCAAAGCCGGCAAACCUUGUCGUAGACAAUCAAAAAGUCAUCGUGCCAAGCUCCGCAAGACUAGCGCACAAUAUCAACCGUCACAGAUGAAGGGAAGAAUAGAUCAGAAGGAUCCAAUCUGUAAAUACAUGAAAACAGAUUGUAUCCAAGCAGAUCCACCAAAGACCAGUGCCGCUAGAAUCCCACAAUGUCCGCCAGACACACGUCUUCACACGUCCUCCGACGACGCAAGAUGCACCAGCGGGUGAAGGCUAAGCGUGGAGAACCUUAUUCCAUAUUCAAUGAAUCACGACCGUCUCGCCUUCCUAAGUAGGCACAAACACUAAUGAACCUUAAAAACACCUACAAAUGGAGCAGGAUUUGUCACGCGUCCAUAGUCCUAAGGCCACACGAGACGAGGCAAAACGGCAUCACAACCGACGGAAGGCAAGGAAAACCUCGCCUACGCACAAAAUUGUAGUUGUCUUUUGUCGUCACCGCCCGUCUGUUCGUAACAUAGUCUUGUUGGUUUAAAGAUGUUUUCAUAAAAUAUUGUAUGGAAUUUUCGUCCUUAUAGUUCUUUCUUUGCAGAGUUAUAAACGACUUUACUUUUUCUGAGAAGAAAUAAGCAACUCCCCCCUCCCCUACAGAAAGUAAUAACUAAUUAUUCCAAUAAGAUCAUAUGCUAAGGUUAGAAAAAAUGUUCUCAAGGGCGAGGGAGUUUCGGUUGUCUUUAUUGUAAAAAAAACUUCGCAUUCCGAGUGAUCUAAAUCUUCCAAAAUAUAUAUGAGUAUAGCAGAAUGAGAGUAAUGCUAAACCUUUUAUUUUCUUUCUCAAAAAAAAAGAGUAAUGCUAAACCUGUGUGAUUUUUUUAUAUAUGAGACUUACGAGGUGAUGUGGAGGCCCACAUUUGAAAUCAGGGGUCCAUGGUGAAAAUGGGGAGGGAAUGGUUAGUUGGAUAAAGACAUGUACGCCUGCAGAUCCAGUCCGUAAAUUAAACUCUUAUUUGCCUCAAAAAAAUUAAAGAAAAAGUUAAACUCUUAUAAAUUUAUCAUUUGUUCGAUCCAUUGCUAGACCAACAUAUCUAUAAUAGAGGGCCGGGGGCAAGUGCAAUAGAGGAAUGAUGUCAAAGCGUAGAGAAUGCCAAAAAAUUUCAACAUGGAUAGGCGAACACAACUCGACAUAUGCUAAUGGUAGCAAUGAAGGUUGUUGGCCUUAUAGAGUUAAUCGUGCGCUGGAAGAGUAGCCGCCCAAAAUGUUUGACCUUGUUAGGUACCCUAUUACCCAAUAUCAUCUCAUCGUCGUCUUCAUGUGGUGUGUAGGUGCCCUUACUGUAGAAUGAUUGAGCAGUUGACGAGGAACUAAUCGUCAGUUUCAUUGUUGCAUUAAGAAAUCACACAACAAAGAUAUUGACACAAUCAGCUAUGCAAGAGCAAACUGAAGCUAUGUGAUUUCAAAGGUUAAAUUCCAACCCAUUUCACAUGAUUAAUGCAACAACCGCAUUGGCGUUUCUAGGCCUCCUUUGGUUUAUAGGAUAGAAAUAUCAUGAGAAUAGGAAAACUAUUGGAAAUGUUAUGACAUGUAUCUCAAUUCCUACAGGAAAAGAGACGUUAUUUGAUUCAUAGGAAAGAACUUUUUUAUUGGGCCCAGGGUAAUGUUUUUAUUCCUCUGACAUGUGAAAGAUUAGUUUCUAUCGUACAUUGAAACAAGUAACCAUUCCUACAAACCAAAUGGCUUCAAAGUUUUUUUCCUACAAACUUCCUAUCCUUUAGAAUUUCUACAAAAUUCCUAUAAACCAAAGAGGCCCUAGAAUGGCAGAAAAGGUUCAGGAAGGCAUUUGUCAGACUAACCAAAGUGGGGAGUAACUUAGACCAGUAAUAUGUAUAUGUUACUAGUUUAUGUUUACUAUCUCUAUAGUGGAGAAUAGCAUAUGUGUGGUGUCAUACAACAUUUCAUUUAUUAGGUUAUUGACUCAUCUUGUUUUGGUAUGUGUGAUGUUACCCUUAGUAUGAGUAACCAGCUAUGUCACUCUAUUCAUCUCUCUCAUCAUAAAAUCAUUGCCACAUAAACAAAUUUGCUGAGUUGGCCUCUAUGUUACUGCUGAAGUUACUCCCACUAUGGACAGUCUCAAAGGUAAGCGGUGAUGCUAAGAUAUAGCAAAACUUGUGAUGUGUCAUCUUUUGGUAGGACAAAGAAAAUAUGUUGAAGGGUUUGUUGUUUUGCAAAUUAACGAGGGGUAGGUCCGUGGUAAGGCUAGGAUGUUUUGGUUUUGUAGGUGGAAUGAAUUGACCCAAAGUGUGUCUAAGGCAAGAAGUAACUUGAAGAGGAAAUAAGUGUGAGUAUGCAGAUAACAACAUGGAAAUUGAAAUGUCUGGACACCCCCCACUCCCACCCUAAAAAAUCUCCAUAUGAAAAAAACAUGUUCCGUGCGAUGUAAUCGAUAUCUUUGGUCACAUUAGUAUGAAGCCUAAAGACCAAAAUUUCAUGUUUUUCUGCGGAAAUCGACCCGACUCUUGGGAGCAUAUGCUCCUGCGCAUAAAAAAUGUUUUAUGUAAAUGUCAAAAAAGUUUGAAAACAUACAUGUUCUCAUUGUCACACCCGAAUUCUAUGCUUAGCAUUUUGAGCUAUGCAAAAAAAGUCGAACUCCAAAUGUUACACUUAAUUUUGUUUAUUUUUCACCGUCAAAGCACAGCUAUCCCGUUUCGUAAGAAAAUUUUCAAGCACACUUGUUACACUAACACUAACAUCUACAAAAAAACAGAAUUUUAAAAUUUAAUUACUAUUGGUUUUGAAUUUACUGUUCAUCUGGGAGCAUCUGCACCCCAGAGCCAAAACAGCCAUCCUGUUUUUCAGUUCGCUCAUUCAAAACAACUGUCAAAUAUUUGUGGCACUGCAGUGAGCCGGUGAUUUAAAAAUCCUAUUACCCGCAACAAACACAUUGAUGAUAAUGUUAACCGUGCUCUGGAAGAAAAGCCAAGCAAAAUGUUUGAUCUCGUUAGGUACCCUAUUGCCCAAUAUCAUCCCAUCAUCACUUUCUUCAUGGAGUGUGCAAGUGUCCUUAGUGGAGGAUGAUCGAGCCGUUGAUGGGGAACCAGUUGUCACUCUCAUUGUUGAACUUGGAAAUCACACAACAAAGAUAUCGACACAAUCAACUAUGUGCAAGCAAUUGAUGUUAUUAGACACAUGAUCAAGACAAUAAUUUCACUGAUGUUUAUAGAGUGGGAGAAAAGGUCCAGGAACGCAUUUGUCAAGGGUAAGUGAUGAUGUCAAAGAUCUAGCAAAACAAGGUGAAAUGUCAUUAUUUGGCAGGACAAAGAAAAUAUGUUGAAGGGGUUUGCUGUUUUGCAAAUAAAUAAGGGGUAGGUGUGUGGUAAGGCUAGAAAGUUUUGGCGUUAUAGGUGGAGUGAAUUAAUCCAAAGUGUGCCUAAGGCAAGAAGUAUCUUGAAGAAAAUUUAUAGGAGUAAACAGCUUUCAACAAGCACAUUCUAAAUGCCUACCCCCCACUCUCACCCCCAAAAAAAUCUCCAUCUGAAAGACAUGUUUCAUGCAAGUACGCAUUUCGCCAGUGCAAGAUUCGCUUGCAAGAUAGAAAAAUCAUGAGAGUAGGAAAACCAUAGAAAAUGUAAUGACGUGUAUCUCAAUUCCUAUAGGGAAAGAUACAUCAUUUGAUUCAUAGGAAAAAACUUUUUCACUGGGUCUCAGGUAAUGUUUUUUAUUCCUUUGACAUGUCAAAGAUUGGUUUAUAUCGUACAUUGACAGAAGUAUCCAUUCCUACAUACCAAAGGGCUUCAAAGGAUUUUUCCUACAAACUUCCUAUCCUUUAGAAUUUUUAGAAAAUUCCUACAAACGAAAGGAGGCCCUAGAGUGGUAGAAAAGGUUCAGGAAGGCAUUUGUCAAAGGUAAGCGGUGAUGCUAAGAUCUAGCAAAACAUGUGUUGUGUCAUUUUUUGGUAGGAGAAAGAAAGUAUGUUGAAGGGUUUGUUGUUUUGCAAAUUAAUGAGGGGUAGGUGUGUGGUAAGGCUAGGACGUUUUGGUUUUGUAGGUGGAAUGAAUGACCCAAAGUGUGUCUAAGGCAAGAAGUAACUUGAAGAGAAAAUAAGUAUGAGUAUGCAAAUAACAACAUGGAAAUUUACAUUGGUAUCUUUGGUCACAUUAGUAUGAAUCCUAAAGACCAAAUUUUCAUGUUUUCUGCACAAACCCAACCCGACUAUUGGGAGCAUAUGCUCCUGCGCAUCAAUUUUUUUUAUGUAAGUGUCAAAAACGUUUGAGAAAAUAGAUGUUCUCAUUGUCAACACCCAAAUUCUACGCUUAAGCAUUUUGACCUAUGCAAAUAAAGUCGAACGCCAAAUGUUACCUCCAAUGUUACACUUAAUUUUGUUUCUUUUUCACCGACGAAGCACAUCUAUCCCGUUUCGCAUGAAAGUUUUCAAGCACACUUGUUACACUAACAACAACAUCUUUUUUUUUUAGAAUUUUCAAAAUUCAAUUACCAUUUGUCUUGAAUUUACUGUUCAUCUGGGAGCAUUUGCACCCCAGAGCCAAAACGGCCAUCCCGUUUUUUAGUUCACUCAUUCGAAACAAUUGUCAAAUAUUUGUGGCACUAUAGUGAAUUCAAAAUCCUAUUACCCGCAACAAACACAUUGAUGAUAGUGUUAACCAUGCUCUGGAAGAGUAGCCAAGCAAAAUGUUUGAUCUCGUUAGGUACCCUAUUGCUCAAUAUCAUCCCAUCAUCGUUUUCUUCAUGGAGUGUGUAAGUGUCUUUAGUGGAGGAUGAUCAAGCCGUUGAUGAGGAACAAGUUGUCAAUGUCAUUGUUGAACUUGGAAAUCGCACAACAAAGAUAUCGACACAAUCAACUAUGUACAAGCAGUUGAGAUUAGUCGACACAUGAUUAAGACAUAAACUACAUUGACGUUUCUAGAGUGGGAGAAAAGGUCCAGGAAGGGAUUUGUCAAGGGUAAGUGGUGAUGUAAAAGAUCUAGCAAAACAAGGUGAUAUGUCAUUAUUUGGCAGGACAAAGAAAAUAUGUUGAAGGGGUUUGCUGUUUUGCAAAUAAAUAAGGGGUAGGUGUGUGUAAGGCUAGAAAGUUUUGACGUUAUAGGUGGAAUGAAUUAAUCCAAAGUGUGCCUAAGGCAAGAAGUAUCUUGAAGAAAAUUUAUAGGAGUAAAGAACUUUCAACCAACACAUUUUAAAUGCCCACCCCUCACUCUCACCCAAAAAAAUUCUCCAUCUGAAAGACAUGUUCCACACAAUUACGCAUUUCACUCGUGCAGGCAUUUGUAGCAUAGAAAAAAGGCUGUCUAAUUGCAUCAAUAUCUUUGGUCACAUUCGUAGGAAGCCUAAAGGCCAAAAUUUCAUGUUUUUUUGUUCAUUCAUUCCAAAAAACCGUUGGAUAUAUUUUAUGGCAUCACGGUAAGCGAGUGAGUGCAAAACCCUAUGACCCGCAACGAACACAGUUAUGAUAAUUUUCACGAGGAAUACAAAAUCCAGUCACGGAGCCUCGUAUCAGUACACCUCGCUCGUACUGACAUAGUACACACAUGAAAAGCAUAUGCAUUUCUUUACUUUGAUAGAAACAAUUGAAACCAAAACACAUGCAUGCUUUUGUACUUGAUUGAAAACUCAUGGGCAUUUUGCCGCAAAAAGAAAAGAAAACACAUGCGCAUUCUGCUAUGAUGGCUAUGGAGGUCAAUGGUCGAUUCCCCCCUCAAAAACAAAAAGAUUCCCCGGGGCAUCUAAACUGUCGUCCUUAAUCCACAAUCAUGAUAUCCAUUUAAGGCGUUAAUCGCCGCACAUGCCGCGGGGCCCCACCACCCGACGGCCGCGUAAUCGACUCCCCUCUGUCCCUACUUCGCCUACCCAAAUUCUAUGCUUAAGCAUUUUGACCUAUGCAAAAAAAAAAUCGAACCUCAAAUGUUACCUCCAAUGUUAAACUUAAUUUUGUUUCUUUUUCACCAACGAAGCACAACUAUCCCGUUUUGCAUGAAAAUUUUCAAGUGUGCUUGUUAUACUAACAAUAACAUCUAAAAAAAACAGAAUUUUUGAAUCUAAGUAUUUGUUUUGAAUGUACUGUUCAUCUGGGAGCAUUUGCACCCCAGAGCCAAAACGGCCACCCUGUUUUUCAGUUCGCUCAUUCAAAACAACUGUCAUAUAUUUGUGGCGCUGCAGUGAGCCGGUGAGUUCAAAAUCCUAUUACCCGCGACAAACACAUUGAUGAUAAUGUUAACCGUUCUCUGGAAGAGAAGCCAAGCAAAAUGUUUGAUCUUGUUAGGUACCCUAUUGCCCAAUAUCAUCCCAUCGUCGUUUUCUUCAUGGGAGUGUGUAAGUGUCCUUAGUGGAGGAUGAUCUCGAGCCGUUGAUGAGGAACCAGAUGUCAUUGUCAUUAUUGAACUUGGAAAUCACACAACAAAGAUAUCGACACAAUCAACUAUGUACAAGCAGUUGAGGUUAAUUGACACAUGAUUAAGACAAGAAUUACAUUGACGUUUCUAGAGUGGGAGAAAAGGUCCAGGAAGGCAUUUGGCAAGGGUAAGUGGUGAUGUCAAUGAUCUAGCAAAAGAAGGUGAUAUGUCAUUAUUUGGCAGGACAAAGAAAAUAUGUUGAAGGGGUUUGCUGUUUGCAAAUAAAUAAGGGGUAGGUGUGUGGUAACACUAGAAAGUUUUGGCGUUAUAGGUGGAAUGAAUUAAUCCAAAGUGUGCCUAAGGCAAGAAGUAUAUUGAAGAAAAUUUAUAGGAGUAAACAA
This 17673-nucleotide long non-coding RNA is filed under the name Triticum aestivum (bread wheat). Its description in RNAcentral is "long non-coding RNA (TAES_LNC019696)". The record is from RNAcentral. Lineage: Eukaryota; Viridiplantae; Streptophyta; Magnoliopsida; Poales; Poaceae.